RNAcentral lists this ribosomal RNA (264 nucleotides) under uncultured bacterium. RNAcentral describes it as "partial 16S ribosomal RNA". It matches the Rfam family "Bacterial small subunit ribosomal RNA", at positions 793 to 1055 of the family's 1533-position model. The record is from RNAcentral.
GUCCACGCCCUAAACGAUGCAUAUUUGGUGUAGGUCAUUCAGUUGAUCUGUGCCGGAGCUAACGCGUUAAAUAUGCCGCCUGGGGAGUACAGUCGCAAGGCUGAAACUCAAAGGAAUUGACGGGGGCCCGCACAAGCGGUGGAGCAUGUGGUUCAAUUCGACGCAACGCGAAGAACCUUACCUGGGCUCGAACGGCUUCUUAACGGCAGUGGAAACACUGCUAUCCCGCAAGGGAGUGGAGUCGAGGUGCUGCAUGGCUGUCGU